RNAcentral lists this ribosomal RNA (324 nucleotides) under Triticum aestivum (bread wheat). RNAcentral describes it as "partial small subunit ribosomal RNA". The record is from RNAcentral. Lineage: Eukaryota; Viridiplantae; Streptophyta; Magnoliopsida; Poales; Poaceae.
AUGAGCUCCUACAGCCUUCCGAAGACUCUUCAUCACGAGAUUGCCACCGUUCAGGGGCGUUUUUUCUGGGCCGGCGAGGGUGAUAAGCAGAAGUACCACAUGGUCAGGUGGCCUGAGAUCUGCAAACCUCGCUACCAGGGCGGACUCGGGAUUAUGUCCUCCAAAUGCAUGAACAUUGUCCUCCUGACUCGGUGGCUCUGGCAGAUUGCCAAUGGGGAUGGUGGUCUGUGGCUUCGCAUCAUUCAGCAGAAAUACCUUCGCGGCCAGCCCCUCGCCUUCUGCAAGCGGUCUGGGGGCUCCCAGUUCUGGCAAUCCAUCAUUUAG